AAGGCAUAAUGAGGAUGAAUUAUGAAAGUCUGAUUAACGUGAUGAUCAAUCACCUCCUACUCAUUCUGA
This is a small nucleolar RNA of Theobroma cacao (cacao), 69 nucleotides long. It matches the Rfam family "Small nucleolar RNA Z105". From Rfam's summary of the family: This family consists of several snoRNA Z105 sequences which are members of the C/D class of snoRNA which contain the C (UGAUGA) and D (CUGA) box motifs. This family seems to be found exclusively in plants. The record is from Rfam. NCBI's taxonomy places the organism in Eukaryota, Viridiplantae, Streptophyta, Magnoliopsida, Malvales, Malvaceae.